GGCGGCGUACGGCUCAGUAACAUGUGGUCAAUCUACCCUCAGGACGGAGAUAACCUCGGGAAACUGAGGCUAAUAUCCGAUAGAUAAUGGAUCCUGGAAUGGUUCAUUAUUCAAACGGCACAUUGCUCAUGCGCAGUGUGUCGCCUGAGGAUGAGACUGCACCCUAUCAGGUAGUUGGUGGGGUAAUGGCCCACCAAGCCUAUAACGGGUACGGGCCCUGAGAGGGGGAGCCCGGAGAUGGGCACUGAGACAAGGGCCCAGGCCCUACGGGGCGCAGCAGGCGCGAAACCUCUGCAAUGCGCGAAAGCGCGACAGGGCCACCCCGAGUGCUAGCCGCUGAGGUUAGCUUUUCCUUAGUGUAGUAAGCUAAGGGAAUAAGCGGGGGGCAAGCCUGGUGUCAGCCGCCGCGGUAAUACCAGCUCCGCGAGUGGUCGGGACGAUUAUUGGGCCUAAAGCGUCCGUAGCCGGCCUAUCAAGUCUCUGGUUAAACCUCAAGGCUCAACCUUGAGAUCGCUGGAGAUACUGUUAGGCUAGGGGGCGGGAGAGGUUGAGGGUACUUCGCGGGUAGGGGCGAAAUCCUAUAAUCCGCGAAGGACCACC
Molecule: ribosomal RNA, 600 nt
Filed under: uncultured archaeon
Lineage: Archaea
Description: bacterial SSU rRNA
Rfam family: Archaeal small subunit ribosomal RNA
Source: RNAcentral